AGAGUUUGAUCCUGGCUCAGAACGAACGCUGGCGGCAGGCCUAAAACAUGCAAGUCGAGCGCCCAGCAAUGGGAGCGGCGGACGGGUGAGUAACACGUGGGAACAUGCCUUUCGGUACGGAACAACUCAGGGAAACUUGAGCUAAUACCGUAUGCGCCCUAACGGGGAAAGAUUUAUCGCCGAAGGAUUGGCCCGCGUUGGAUUAGCUUGUUGGUGAGGUAAUGGCUCACCAAGGCGACGAUCCAUAGCUGGUUUGAGAGAACGAUCAGCCACACUGGGACUGAGACACGGCCCAGACUCCUACGGGAGGCAGCAGUUGGGAAUCUUGGACAAUGGGGGAAACCCUGAUCCAGCCAUGCCGCGUGAGUGAUGAAGGCCUUAGGGUUGUAAAGCUCUUUCGCACGCGGCGAUAAUGACGGUAGCGUGAGAAGAAGCCCCGGCUAACUUCGUGCCAGCCGCCGCGGUAAUAC
This 470-nucleotide ribosomal RNA is filed under the name uncultured bacterium. Its description in RNAcentral is "bacterial SSU rRNA". It matches the Rfam family "Bacterial small subunit ribosomal RNA", at positions 8 to 526 of the family's 1533-position model. The record is from RNAcentral.